UAAAACUGUGAUUUGUAUGCAUUGAUGCAAUAUUCUAAAUACAACUUUCAUCAAAAGAAAAUAAACAAUAGAGAGAAUGAACAAAUUUAUCGUUAUGACACUUGUUAUUUAUUGUAGAUUUCUUAUGCAACUCAUCGAUAAAGUAUUGGAAGUCCCAGAUAAAUUUCUUCAACAUAACAUCCAACCUUCGUCAACAUAAGUCAAAAACAGCACACAUCAAAUAAAAAUAAAAUAUUCUUUAACAAAACAUUGCCUAAUCAAUUUCGUGAAUAUAGGUUUUAAAACCAUAGUGACUUCUUUUUACAUAUCGUAUGGACAUUCCAGUUGCUUGUCUCUUCUUUACUUCUAAACUAGCAGACCCGACCACGCGUUACUGUGGCUGAGUAAUUAAGGAAGGACUUAAUAGACAAAAUUGAACACUAAUUUACAUAACAUCUUUAAUUUAAUUUUAUUAAUAAAUACUAUGAUUAACAUAAAUUAAAUAAAAUCACAGUUAAAGUUUACUGAAGUGCCAAUCGAUGAACAAUAUUUUUGGUCAGCCUGUCUUUUGUCAACACAAAUAAUUGCCCAUGAGAGAAACAUGGAUUCUCUAAGUCUAAGCUUUAAUGCACCACAAUACUCGCAAACAACGUCCAUUUGCCCAAUGCAAACGCUAUGAUGCAAGCUGUAAUCAUUGCUGCAAUCGUAUCGAAACGCUGCUCGAUUCAAAUCAUCUAAAUAUCUUGUUCUGCGCCGCAAAUUAUCUAUUUGUUGCCUUCUGUUGUUCGCUCGACGAUUCUGCAUUGCCAACCGAGCUGUUUCACGGGCUGCUUCACUUUGCUCUCGUGAUUGAGAAGCACGAAUCCUUUCAUUUGCAGUAUUUUGUAUUCUUCUUGCAUUACGGCUUUGUCGGGAAAGAUUCGAUCGUCUUGGUCGCGGCAUUAUUAAUUAAACUUCACUUCACUUUUAAUUAAACUUCACUUCACUUCAAUCCACUUCUUAAUUAUUUAUUUAAUAGAAAUAGUUUUAAUAUUGAUU
Long non-coding RNA from Eupeodes corollae, 1017 nucleotides. RefSeq lists it as uncharacterized. The transcript is spliced from 3 exons. The record is from RefSeq and is a predicted model, not a curated record. NCBI's taxonomy places the organism in Eukaryota, Metazoa, Arthropoda, Insecta, Diptera, Syrphidae.